Molecule: ribosomal RNA, 492 nt
Filed under: uncultured bacterium
Lineage: Bacteria
Description: partial 16S ribosomal RNA
Rfam family: Bacterial small subunit ribosomal RNA
Source: RNAcentral
AUUGAACGCUGGCGGCAUGCUUUACACAUGCAAGUCGAACGGUAACAGGCCUUCGGGUGCUGACGAGUGGCGAACGGGUGCGUAAUGCAUCGGAACGUACCCAGAGGUGGGGGAUAACGCAGCGAAAGCUGUGCUAAUACCGCAUGUGAUCUGAGGAUGAAAGCGGGGGACCGAGCAGCAAUGUUUGGCCUCGCGCCUUUGGAGCGGCCGAUGUCGGAUUAGCUAGUUGGUGGGGUAAAGGCCUACCAAGGCGACGAUCCGUAGCUGGUCUGAGAGGACGACCAGCCACACUGGGACUGAGACACGGCCCAGACUCCUACGGGAGGCAGCAGUGGGGAAUUUUGGACAAUGGGCGCAAGCCUGAUCCAGCAAUGCCGCGUGAGGGAAGAAGGCCUUCGGGUUGUAAACCGCUUUUGGCAGGAACGAAACGGUGUCCGCUAAUACCGGGCGCUAAUGACGGUACCUGCAGAAUAAGCACCGGCUAACUACGUG